RNAcentral lists this ribosomal RNA (422 nucleotides) under uncultured Edaphobaculum sp. RNAcentral describes it as "bacterial SSU rRNA". It matches the Rfam family "Bacterial small subunit ribosomal RNA", at positions 355 to 774 of the family's 1533-position model. The record is from RNAcentral. Lineage: Bacteria; Pseudomonadati; Bacteroidota; Chitinophagia; Chitinophagales; Chitinophagaceae.
UGAGGAAUAUUGGUCAAUGGACGCAAGUCUGAACCAGCCAUGCCGCGUGAAGGAUGAAGGCCUUCUGGGUUGUAAACUUCUUUUAUCAGGGAAGAAAAUUACGGUUUCUACUGUAACCGACGGUACCUGAGGAAUAAGCACCGGCUAACUCCGUGCCAGCAGCCGCGGUAAUACGGAGGGUGCAAGCGUUAUCCGGAUUCACUGGGUUUAAAGGGUGUGUAGGCGGAUAUUUAAGUCAGUGGUGAAAUCUCCGGGCUCAACCCGGAAACUGCCAUUGAUACUAUUUAUCUUGAAUACUGUUGAGGUAGGCGGAAUAUAUCAUGUAGCGGUGAAAUGCUUAGAUAUGAUAUAGAACACCGAUUGCGAAGGCAGCUUACUAAGCAGUUAUUGACGCUGAGGCACGAAAGCGUGGGGAUCAAACA